UUCGUUUGAUGGAUAGCAAUUUCAGGCUUUGUUCUCCGAUGUCAAGAGUAUUUAUAAACAGCUUACGACAGACCCUCCUCAAAGAAAGGACUAAAAGAAGGAAGCUACGAUAUCGACCCUGGCGGAUAUAGACUGCGUUUCCUCGCAGCCGAGCCGCCGCGAUGCGAUAGCUGUGCAUUGCAAGGCACAUCCUUGCCGCGUACUGACUACGUCAGGGGUGCAGGCGAAGCUUGAGCGGGGACGCUGCGAUCUGCGAGGUUGCUGCACAUCAAAGUAAUCCAACCUCACCUCGUUAUUCGUUCCAGCGAACAGAAAUACGCCCUUCUCAGCUGUAUAAUGUAACCAUUAUGUAUGAUUAAGCUUAUUAAU
Papilio xuthus (Asian swallowtail) is the source of this 369-nucleotide long non-coding RNA. RefSeq lists it as uncharacterized. NCBI's taxonomy places the organism in Eukaryota, Metazoa, Arthropoda, Insecta, Lepidoptera, Papilionidae. The transcript has 3 exons. The record is from RefSeq and is a predicted model, not a curated record.